RNA transcript from Amphimedon queenslandica, 4883 nucleotides. RefSeq lists it as uncharacterized. The record is from RefSeq and is a predicted model, not a curated record. The transcript is spliced from 14 exons. NCBI's taxonomy places the organism in Eukaryota, Metazoa, Porifera, Demospongiae, Haplosclerida, Niphatidae.
UCUAUAAUAUCUAUGCUGUAAUCCAGCUUGUAAUCCCUGGUAAUCCAAGUAAUCCAGCUUGUAAUCCCUGGUCCGGUAAUCCAAAGAAUCUACCUAUAAUCUUGGUAAUCCACUCAUAAUCUUGGAAUUCUCCUGGUAAUUCAAAAAGAUUUUCUUCCCGUUGCGAACCCCUCGUUACCAACUUGCCAAGUUGCCAGCAUGACUUUUUAUAGUAAAGCAGGUGCAAUUGCUGAAGCUCUGUUGGACCGAGCAAGUGCUGAACAGAUUGUGUUUAAUGAUAAGAAGACAGAAUUCCUGGAGGACGAGACUAAUAAGAAGCCUCUAGAUCAAGUAAGCUCGCACAAUAAUGGAGACACGCCCAUCACACCAAAGGAUUUUUACUGGGACCAGAUCCUCCUUUAUCUGGUGUCGGCUAUUCUGGGUCUGAGUUUCUUAAAUACAACUGUAGAAUUUUUCAGAGGGUCUACAAUACAUUGUUAUAUUUCUGAUACUGGUACUUCUCUUGAUCAAGUGACAUAUCUUAAUAACUACUGCUAUAGUAGUUUACCCAACAGUCAGCAUUAUCUAAUAUUUACACUAAUAUCUGCUCUUAUUAUUAUCGCACCGCAUUAUUUGUGGGCAUCUUAUUUUGGAGCUUAUUUUGAUUUUUUUUUUGACUUGACAAAAAAGCUUCAUCGUCUUCGAGACACCAAAACUGGCGAAUAUAAUUCGUAUAAUUUUGAACUUGUUAAGAAACUGGAGCAGAAGUUUUCUUCAAAUCCAUGGAUGUUCCGUUGGUAUAAGCUAAAGCUCUUAACUCAUUUAGUGACGUGUACAAUAUUUGAAAUCGUUAAUGCUUUUUACUUUGAGGCAGAUGAUUUUAACAAGUCAUUUCCCUGUCCAGCAGACAGUAGUAUUCUCAAUACUACAGUCUGGCCACUACCCGAGCAGCUCAACUGUGUUUACAAUAGUCUGACGUUACUUUAUUUCCUACGUAACACUGCACUUGGUUUAGUUGCUGCUGCUAUAGUAGUGAUUAUGAUUGGACUUGUUUGGUGUUUUCUACCUCAUACAACUGAGCUUGGUGCUAAAGACAUUGCUGCAUUUUGUGAUUUCUCUUGCCUGCCUCCUGAAGAAUAUACUUUUCCUUCUCUUUGGAAAGUUGUGCUCUCAAUUUUUUCUUGUGCUGGAGAAGAACGAAUAUGGUCAACUUCAAAUGUCAAGCAAGUAUUUUCUCCACGCAUACACACAGAUCUUGAUUUUCUAGUAACUCGAUUGUUUUAUUCUGAUUCUGGUCAUGGACAAGUAUUCAAAGAAAUUCAAAUAUUGAAAGAGUUGGAAUACAGAAGCAUACAAGAUCACAAGCUAAUGUAUCUUUUGAACAUGAUUUAUGAAAAAUAUUUGAUAAAUAAAGGAGGUUUUGCAACAGAGUGUGCAAAAAUGAGCUUUCUUCAAGAACAUUAUAAAGAUAUUCAAGCAUAUUUUCUUAAAACUCAUAGUUUUGAUGAAAACAAUAUUGAGCAGUCACUGUAUUUUGAAUUUAAGAAGGGAAGUGGUGCAAAUGAAACAAAUUGCCACGGGUCUUGCUCUACAUUUAAAAGUGAAAUUUUUCGCUUUUUCCGAUUUGCUCCAAGAAAAAAAUGUGCAUUAGACAUUUCUUUUGGCAAUAGAAGAGGUCAUUCACUUAUACUGGCAAGAGCAUUCAGUGAAUCACUGACAAUACAUUUCAAUAAGUACUACAAAGAUUUUGAAGAAGUGUGUCAUAAAAAUGACUAUCAUGCAAACUAUUACACACUGACUCUUCAAAAUGACAUUUAUGGACAAAAUGCUGACAGUAAUGCAAAGUCUGAUAUUCCUAUUGUUCAAUUCUUAAAAUCCGAAGAUGAAAUAAGAACAAUAGAUCUCAUUACAGUAGGACCAAUCACAGAAUAUUCUGAUAUAAUAACAACUAAUAUAUUGCUUCACAAAAUCCACAGGCAAAAUAAGUAUUUCACCAAGAAAGCUAUUCUGCUUGCAAUACGUCCAUUAGAGAUAGGAUUUGAGCAGCGUUCAGAGCAUUUUAUACAAUAUAUACCUCCUCAAAGAAUAUUUAAAUGUCACAGUGAACCAACCGAGAAAGAUUUUGUUGUUGAAUGCAACAAUGUACAAUGUGUUUAUGAGUUUAAGAUGUAUUGCUACACUGGUAAUACCGAAGAAGAACAAGUCCCAUAAGACACAAGUAGAUAAAUAAUGAUUUUGACUGCUUAAGAUUUUGUCCCUCACAUGACUAGAUUGCAUCUAUCUAAAUUUAGAUAUAUUAUACACAUGUAGUCUAGAUCUAUAAUUAUUGUGGGUUUACAUUGUAUCAACCACCAGAUCAGAGUUCAAUAUUUUACAUAUGGAUAAGCUGAGUCCCCCAGCACCUCAGCCUACUAAAAAGAUUUUUUGUAAGCAAGUAUGGCUAGCACAGCAAGUGCAAUGAUUGCUGGAGCUGUGUUAGACAAUGCAAGUGCUGACAAAAUUAUUUGUGUUCAAUGAUAAGAAGACAGAGUUUCUGGACUCAGAUAAGUUAGAUUUAUCCAGCUCCAAUAAAGGAGGUAGCAGUGGUGACACACCCAUCACACCAAAGGAUUUCUAUUGGGACCAAAUCCUCUUUUAUCUGGUAUCUGCCAUUCUGGGUUUGAGUUUCUUAGAUAUAUCAGUUGAGUUUUUCAGAGCAGUGUUAUAUCACUGAUAUUGCUGCUUCCCUUGAUCAUAACUACUGUUAUAGUUUACCCAAUAGUCAGUAUUUAUAUGUACUAAAUCUGCUCUUAUUAUCAUUGCUCCACAUUAUUUGUGGACGUUGUAUUUUGGAGCUUAUUUUGAUUUCUUUGACCUGGCAAAAAAACUUCAUCGUCUUUGAGACACUAAAACUGGCGAAUAUGAUCUGUAUAAUUUUGAACAUGUCAAGAAGCUAGAACAGAAGUUUCUUUUUUGAACCCAUGGAUGUUUUGUUGGUAUAAGCUAAAGCUCUUAGCCUUAGGGGUGUGUGUGAUAGUGGAAACUGUUAAUGCUUUCUAUUUUAAGGCAGAUGAUUUCAAUGAGUCAUUUCUCUGCCCUACGAAUACCAGUUUUCUUAACACUACAGCCUGCAGGCCACUACCUGAGCAAUACUGUGUUUACAUAGUCUAACAUAGCUUUUUUAUGUAACACGGCACUUGGUUUAGUUGCUGCUGCUAUAGUUGUGAUUAUGAUUGGACUUGUUUGGUGUUUUGUGCGUCACACUAAUGAGCUUGGCGCUAAAGACAUUGCUGCUUUUUGUGAUGUCUCUUAAGUUGCCUGCCUCCUGAGGAAUAUCCUUUCCCAUCUACUCAAAAAAUUCUUUACAGCUAUAUAGGAUCCUAUACUGUGGCAAAAAGGAGAGACUUCUUGAAAGAUACCAACCGAAACUAUUCAUUGAAAAUCAAAAGGAACAAUCAAGUAUGCUUGAACUAAGUCCAAGCCAUAUUGAGAACAUUGCCAAGUCAAGUCAAAAUGAAGAAGAAAAAAUGAAAUCCCACCCUCUGCUCAGACUGCUCUCCUUGUUUUACUGGUUUCUUGAAAGGACUAAAGCAAAUAUUUAUUCCAUGAUUACACACAGAUCUCGAUUUUUUAGUAGCCCGACUGUUUUAUGCUGAUUCUGGCCAUGGACAAGUGUUUAAGGACAUUCAAAUACAGAAAGAGUUGAAAAAGAAAAUAUCACAAGGUCAUGAGCUGCUAUAACCUACUUAACAGUGUUCAUUUUCAUUUGUAAAAAAGUGUAUCAGAAGGAAACUUGCUUAUGAAAGGAAGGGCAAUACCAAUGCCAGAAGAUAAAGAGUGGGAGCGGCUGAAAGAUUUUUAAAAUACUUUUUUGAAUCAAAAGUCGGUGAAAAAAAUUCUGAAGAGAGAGUAUCAUUUUGUAAAAAAGACUUAGGAGUCAGGAGUACUGAUUGGUCUCAUUCUCCAGUAUUUGGUUUUCUUAAGUUUGCUCCUAACAACAGGCUAGCUUUAAACAUUUCUUUUGGCAGUAGGACAGGUCAUUAUCUGAUUUUAGCAAGAGCAUUCUAUCAAGUAUUCCCCUCCAGUGAUUCCACUGUUUUUGAUGUACCAUCAACUGGACAUGUCAUGUUGGUUUUCUGCUUACCACAUGGAAUACCUUUACAGUGGCUUGGAAUCAAAGUUGCUGUAUUUCAGGCUCUUAAAUUGUAUGAAGUGGAUUACUGGAAGGGCUUUUUGUUCUUCUAUGUUAUAAGAUAUCAUCUUUCAUCAGUUUCAUGAACAAAUCAUUGCACGAGGGCAUAGUGGCAAUGGAAUAGUUAUGGCAACAAGCUCUAUGAUCUGCUGCACACUCAAGACAGUACGUUUGUGAAUGUGAACUGUUGUGACACUCAAAUUGGAACUUUGUCAAUGCCAUCUCAUAAUAGUAGAACUGACAGCAAUCACAUUGACCAUACCAGUUCCCACUACUGACUGGUUUCUGGAACGAAAACAUCAAAAGGGUGUAGACAUUGCUAACUGGAUUGUAAGGCUACUAUGUCAAGUGAAGGAGGAGAGUUUAACGCCCCAAGAAUAACAGCAGUAGAAUAACAGUGGCGUACACUUGAAUUCAUUAUGAAUAAGGUUAUUGAGUGAGGUUUGAAGGAGGAGAGAGCCAUCGCCUCAGCUCAGGACUAACCCAGUUCCCAGCUCAGUUUACACUCAAUAAUUUAUUUUUAAUAAUGUUUAAAGUGUGAUAAGGCUUCGGACAACCUUAACUGAGCACUCAGUAAUGUACAUUCAGUUAUAGUGUCUACAGCUGUGUAUAUGCAUGCCAGAACCUAUUGGGACAUUGAGGUAGUGUAUAGGUGUUGUUGUUCAUUCAAAGGACUUAAACAAUCAUGUCAUAUUGUACAGAUUAAUAAACAAUUCUUUUAUAACUAUGAUAA